This 650-nucleotide ribosomal RNA is filed under the name uncultured bacterium. RNAcentral's name for it is "bacterial SSU rRNA". It matches the Rfam family "Bacterial small subunit ribosomal RNA", at positions 52 to 747 of the family's 1533-position model. The record is from RNAcentral.
UACAUGCAGUCGAACGGUUGUAGCAAUACAGCAGUGGCAGACGGGUGAGUAACACGUGGGAACCUACCUAGGGGUACGGAAUAACUCAGGGAAACUUGUGCUAAUACCGUAUACGACCUUCGGGUGAAAGAUUUAUCGCCCCUAGAUGGGCCCGCGUUGGUUUAGCUAGUUGGUGAGGUAAAAGCUCACCAAGGCGACGAUCCAUAGCUGGUCUGAGAGGAUGAUCAGCCACACUGGGACUGAGACACGGCCCAGACUCCUACGGGAGGCAGCAGUAGGGAAUCUUGGACAAUGGGCGAAAGCCUGAUCCAGCCAUGCCGCGUGAGUGAUGAAGGCCUUAGGGUUGUAAAGCUCUUUCGCCAGGGAAGAUAAUGACGGUACCUGGAUAAGAAGCCCCGGCUAACUUCGUGCCAGCAGCCGCGGUAAUACGAAGGGGGCUAGCGUUGUUCGGAAUUACUGGGCGUAAAGCGCACGUAGGCGGUUUUCCAAGUUGGAGGUGAAAUCCCUGGGCUCAACCCGGGAACUGCCUCCAAAACUGGAUCACUCGAGUCCGAGAGAGGUGAGUGGAAUUUCCAGUGUAGAGGUGAAAUUCGUAGAUAUUGGAAAGAACACCAGUGGCGAAGGCGGCUCACUGGCUCGGUACUGACGCU